GACGAACGCUGGCGGCGUGCUUAACACAUGCAAGUCGAACGGAAAGGCCCUGCUUUUGUGGGGUGCUCGAGUGGCGAACGGGUGAGUAACACGUGAGUAACCUGCCCUUGACUUUGGGAUAGCUUCAGGAAACUGGGGCUAAUACCGGAUAGGAGCUCCUGCUGCAUGGUGGGGGUUGGAAAGUUUCGGCGGUUGGGGAUGGACUCGCGGCUUAUCAGCUUGUUGGUGGGGUAGUGGCUUACCAAGGCUUUGACGGGUAGCCGGCCUGAGAGGGUGACCGGCCACAUUGGGACUGAGAUACGGCCCAGACUCCUACGGGAGGCAGCAGUGGGGAAUAUUGCACAAUGGGCGGAAGCCUGAUGCAGCAACGCCGCGUGCGGGAUGACGGCCUUCGGGUUGUAAACCGCUUUCGCCUGUGACGAAGCGUGAGUGACGGUAAUGGGUAAAGAAGCACCGGCUAACUACGUGCCAGCAGCCGCGGUGAUACGUAGGGUGCGAGCGUUGUCCGGAUUUAUUGGGCGUAAAGGGCUCGUAGGUGGUUGAUCGCGUCGGAAGUGUAAUCUUGGGGCUUAACCCUGAGCGUGCUUUCGAUACGGGUUGACUUGAGGAAGGUAGGGGAGAAUGGAAUUCCUGGUGGAGCGGUGGAAUGCGCAGAUAUCAGGAGGAACACCAGUGGCGAAGGCGGUUCUCUGGGCCUUUCCUGACGCUGAGGGGCGAAAGCGUGGGGAGCGAACAGGCUUAGAUACCCUGGUAGUCCACGCUGUAAACGGUGGGUACUAGGUGUGGGGUCCAUUCCACGGGUUCCGUGCCGUAGCUAACGCUUUAAGUACCCCGCCUGGGGAGUACGGCCGCAAGGCUAAAACUCAAAGGAAUUGACGGGGCCCCGCACAAGCGGCGGAGCAUGCGGAUUAAUUCGAUGCAACGCGUAGAACCUUACCUGGGUCUGACAUGGAUCGGGAGUGCUCAGAGAUGGGUGUGCCUCCUUUGGGGUCGGUUCACAGGUGGUGCAUGCCUGUCGUCAGCUCGUGUCGUGAGAUGUUGGGUUAAGUCCCGCAACGAGCGCAACCCUUGUUCACUGUUGCCAGCACGUUAUGGUGGGGACUCAGUGGAGACCGCCGGGGUCAACUCGGAGGAAGGUGGGGAUGACGUCAAGUCCUCAUGCCCCUUAUGUCCAGGGCUUCACGCAUGCUACAAUGGCUGGUACAGAGAGUGGCGAGCCUGUGAGGGUGAGCGAAUCUCGGAAAGCCGGUCUCAGUUCGGAUUGGGGUCUGCAACUCGACCUCAUGAAGUCGGAGUCGCUAGUAAUCGCAGAUCAGCAACGCUGCGGUGAAUACGUUCCCGGGGCU
This 1346-nucleotide ribosomal RNA is filed under the name uncultured bacterium. RNAcentral describes it as "bacterial SSU rRNA". It matches the Rfam family "Bacterial small subunit ribosomal RNA", at positions 28 to 1381 of the family's 1533-position model. The record is from RNAcentral.